Podarcis lilfordi (Lilford's wall lizard) is the source of this 69-nucleotide non-coding RNA. The record is from the annotation of a GenBank genome assembly. NCBI's taxonomy places the organism in Eukaryota, Metazoa, Chordata, Lepidosauria, Squamata, Lacertidae.
GCUGUAGCUCAGUGCUAGAGCAUUUGCUUUGCAUGCAGAAAGUCGCUGGUUCAAUCCCUGGCAUCUCCA